GGGGACAACGUUUCGAAAGGAACGCUAAUACCGCAUACGUCCUACGGGAGAAAGUGGGGAUCUUCGGACCUCACGCUAUCAGAUGAGCCUAGGUCGGAUUAGCUAGUUGGUGGGGUAACGGCUCACCAAGGCGACGAUCCGUAACUGGUCUGAGAGGAUGAUCAGUCACACUGGAACUGAGACACGGUCCAG
Molecule: ribosomal RNA, 192 nt
Filed under: uncultured Pseudomonadales bacterium
Lineage: Bacteria; Pseudomonadati; Pseudomonadota; Gammaproteobacteria; Pseudomonadales
Description: partial 16S ribosomal RNA
Rfam family: Bacterial small subunit ribosomal RNA
Source: RNAcentral